UACGGAGGGGGCAAGCGUUGUUCGGAUUUACUGGGCGUAAAGGGCUCGUAGGCGGCCAACUAAGUCGGAUGUGAAAUCCCCAGGCUUAACCUGGGAACUGCAUCCGAUACUGGAUGGCUUGAAUCCGGGAGAGGGAUGUGGAAUUCCAGGUGUAGCGGUGAAAUGCGUAGAUAUCUGGAGGAACACCGGUGGCGAAGGCGGCAGCCUGGACCGGCAUUGACGCUGAGGAGCGAAAGCCAGGGGAGCAAACGGG
Molecule: ribosomal RNA, 253 nt
Filed under: uncultured bacterium
Lineage: Bacteria
Description: partial 16S ribosomal RNA
Rfam family: Bacterial small subunit ribosomal RNA
Source: RNAcentral